Molecule: ribosomal RNA, 118 nt
Filed under: Lepisosteus oculatus (spotted gar)
Lineage: Eukaryota; Metazoa; Chordata; Actinopteri; Semionotiformes; Lepisosteidae
Source: RNAcentral
GCCAGCAGCCAUUUCACCCUGCAACUCCCAGCUGGCAGCCCACUGAAGCUCAGCAGGUGGGAGCCUGGUCAGUACCUGGAUGGGAGACUCCUGGGGAAAACUAAGGUUGCAGCUGGAA